Molecule: long non-coding RNA, 437 nt
Filed under: Olea europaea (common olive)
Lineage: Eukaryota; Viridiplantae; Streptophyta; Magnoliopsida; Lamiales; Oleaceae
Description: long non-coding RNA (OEUR_LNC010854)
Source: RNAcentral
CUGUUUUUGCGGGUUUGUUUGGCAAUGGGACACUCCCGGGCUUGUCUUCGGUUUCUGUUUUUCUGAUGGCGAAUUAUAUCAUGAUCGAGUAACUGUCUGAGGUGAUCAACUCGAUUUAUAGGCUGCAUCCCAUUGGCACGUCGAAAAUCGUGGAUGUGAAUCAUCUCUAGUUUUGUUCCAACAGGUGUUUCUUCCCCCUGUGAAAUCUCUGCCAAGAAAAUGAUCACAAAAAACAAGAAAAUGAAGAGAAAAGAACCUCUCUGCAGCCUAUACAUUUCCAUUUUUCACACUAGUGCUUAAUUUAGAGGUGAAAUGAGGAAGCAAGAUGUGGAUGCCAAGUAAAGUUGAAUGAUAAAAUUGUAAGGUAGGAUGAGAUAUAUAUAAUAUAUGCAUAGAAUAUAUUCGUUGGUCUCUCUCUUGAAGCAGUUUGGUCCAGC